This 1262-nucleotide ribosomal RNA is filed under the name metagenome. RNAcentral describes it as "bacterial SSU rRNA". It matches the Rfam family "Bacterial small subunit ribosomal RNA", at positions 243 to 1520 of the family's 1533-position model. The record is from RNAcentral.
AGCUAGUUGGUGGGGUAAGAGCCUACCAAGGCGACGAUCAGUAGCUGGUCUGAGAGGAUGAUCAGCCACACUGGGACUGAGACACGGCCCAGACUCCUACGGGAGGCAGCAGUGGGGAAUUUUCCGCAAUGGGCGAAAGCCUGACGGAGCAACGCCGCGUGAGGGACGAAGGCCUCUGGGCUGUAAACCUCUUUUCUCAAGGAAGAAGAUCUGACGGUACUUGAGGAAUAAGCCACGGCUAAUUCCGUGCCAGCAGCCGCGGUAAUACGGGAGUGGCAAGCGUUAUCCGGAAUUAUUGGGCGUAAAGCGUCCGCAGGCGGCUUUGUAAGUCUGCUGUCAAAGCGUGGAGCUUAACUCCAUUUCGGCAGUGGAAACUACGAGGCUUGAGUGUGGUAGGGGCAGAGGGAAUUCCCGGUGUAGCGGUGAAAUGCGUAGAUAUCGGGAAGAACACCAGUGGCGAAGGCGCUCUGCUGGGCCAUAACUGACGCUCAUGGACGAAAGCCAGGGGAGCGAAAGGGAUUAGAUACCCCUGUAGUCCUGGCCGUAAACGAUGAACACUAGGUGUCGGGGGAAUCGACCCCCUCGGUGUCGUAGCCAACGCGUUAAGUGUUCCGCCUGGGGAGUACGCACGCAAGUGUGAAACUCAAAGGAAUUGACGGGGGCCCGCACAAGCGGUGGAGUAUGUGGUUUAAUUCGAUGCAACGCGAAGAACCUUACCAGGGUUUGACAUCCUGCGAAUCCCUUGGAAACUUGGGAGUGCCUUCGGGAGCGCAGAGACAGGUGGUGCAUGGCUGUCGUCAGCUCGUGUCGUGAGAUGUUGGGUUAAGUCCCGCAACGAGCGCAACCCACGUCUUUAGUUGCCAGCAUUUAGUUGGGCACUCUAGAGAGACCGCCGGUGAUAAACCGGAGGAAGGUGUGGAUGACGUCAAGUCAUCAUGCCCCUUACAUCCUGGGCUACACACGUACUACAAUGCUACGGACAAAGGGCAGCAAACUCGCGAGAGCUAGCAAAUCCCAUAAACCGUGGCUCAGUUCAGAUCGUAGGCUGCAACUCGCCUACGUGAAGGAGGAAUCGCUAGUAAUCGCAGGUCAGCAUACUGCGGUGAAUACGUUCCCGGGCCUUGUACACACCGCCCGUCACACCAUGGAAGUUGGCCAUGCCCGAAGUCGUUACUCCAACCCUUGUGGAGGAGGACGCCGAAGGUGGGGCUGAUGACUGGGGUGAAGUCGUAACAAGGUAGCCGUACCGGAAGGUGCGGCUG